RNAcentral lists this small nuclear RNA (23 nucleotides) under Arabidopsis thaliana (thale cress). RNAcentral's name for it is "snRNA_06395". The record is from RNAcentral. Lineage: Eukaryota; Viridiplantae; Streptophyta; Magnoliopsida; Brassicales; Brassicaceae.
AUGUCAAAGUGAAGAAAUUCAAC